This 1026-nucleotide long non-coding RNA is filed under the name Nicotiana tabacum (common tobacco). Its description in RNAcentral is "long non-coding RNA (NTAB_LNC002829)". Lineage: Eukaryota; Viridiplantae; Streptophyta; Magnoliopsida; Solanales; Solanaceae. The record is from RNAcentral.
AUUGAAAUCUGGUUGUUGCCUUUCGAAAUAUUAAGCUUUAGUCAAUUAAUCACCCUAAAAGAACAACUACAAUAUUUAAAUGAAUAGGAUGUAACAAGGAGGCCACAAAAUAUAAAUAUCACUAGACUGCCCAUAUCCUAGAACCAAUCAACUUCGUGGAUCUAGUAUUUGGAUAGCGGGUAUAAAUGUGCCUGCAGUGUGUGCAGGCACACUAUAAAACACGUAGAUGCAUACAAUGACGGACCUAAACAGUCUGUGUUUAAGCACCCAUUGUUCUUGAGCCAACCACUAUUCUUUUUUUUUCCUUUCGUGUUGGUGGUGUGCAGACCAACUUGUGCUACCUCCUACCAGCCCAAGUACCAACCGCUACUUUUAUAUAUGAAACUAGUAUUAACAUACAAAUUGAUUGACUAAGCACCCUUCUGUGAUUAGUAGCAACACUAGAUUGAAAGCAGAUGAGCAUCCAUGACUAAAAAUUCCUGGCUCCGUGUAUGUAUACACAUAUAUAAACACACACUAAGUCCGCAUCCAUUGACUCUACACCUACUUAAAAUCCCGGAUCCAUCUCUACCUAUCAAUAAUUAAUUUCCCGCAUAAUUAUAAUUUCUCUCAUUAUAAUUAAAAAAGAAAAAAGAAAAACAUACCUAAAGGGUGUUCAAGUUUGAAAGAACUCUUGGCCAUUGCAAUACUCGAACUCUGAUCUCUUCCUGCAAAUUUCAUACAUCUAAAGAACAUCAGAUAGAAUUCACCUAAAAAAGCCUUUUUUUCACUCACCAAAAAAAUAAACACACAAUAUUUACAAACUUAAUAAACGCAAGUAAAAGCUGUAUUUGCGUGUAGAAAUCACCAAGAAAAAAAAAACAGCAAUUCACGCAAGAGGAUACCUUUCAAAUUUACCCAAAAAAGUAACAAAGCAAAUAAAUUCAAUCAAGAACUGAUGGUUAUGAGAGUAUUCAACAGAGAACAAAAUUAGGGUUUUUUUAUACGAACACGAAACGGAACUACUCAAAGUUGUUUAGAUUCACA